UACGAAGGGGGCUAGCGUUGUUCGGAAUUACUGGGCGUAAAGCGCACGUAGGCGGAUAUUUAAGUCAGGGGUGAAAUCCCGGGGCUCAACCCCGGAACUGCCUUUGAUACUGGAUAUCUUGAGUUCGGAAGAGGUAAGUGGAAUUGCGAGUGUAGAGGUGAAAUUCGUAGAUAUUCGCAGGAACACCAGUGGCGAAGGCGGCUUACUGGUCCGGUACUGACGCUGAGGUGCGAAAGCGUGGGGAGCAACAGG
Molecule: ribosomal RNA, 252 nt
Filed under: uncultured bacterium
Lineage: Bacteria
Description: partial 16S ribosomal RNA
Rfam family: Bacterial small subunit ribosomal RNA
Source: RNAcentral